UGUUAUACUUAGAAGUGAACAACCUUAAGCACCAGAGAACUACGAACCUAAAGUUUAAAACUCAAAGGACUUGGCGGUUUUCCAAACCUCCCUGGAGGAGCUUGCCAUCGAAUCGAUAACCCACGAAACACCUCACCAACUUUUGUAACAACAGCUUGUAUACCAUCGUCGUAAGUCUACUUCUUGAGAAAGUUGACUUUAAGAGAGAACCCUAGACGUCAGAUCAAGGUGCAGCCUAUAAGUUGGGAAUAGGUGAGCUACAAUGUUUGAACAAACCAGUGAAAGAAGGAAUGAAAUAUCCCUCAGAAAUUGGAUUCAGCAAUAAGCCCCAUAAAGAAAAUGGAGCUGAAAAGAGCUCUGGAAUGCGUACACAUCGCCCGUCACUCUCGCCUAGUUAAGAUUACACAAGGGGAGAAAAGUCGUAACACAAUAGGCACACCGGAAGGUGUGCCUGGAAAAU
This 460-nucleotide ribosomal RNA is filed under the name Hemicentrotus pulcherrimus. Its description in RNAcentral is "partial 12S ribosomal RNA". It matches the Rfam family "Bacterial small subunit ribosomal RNA", at positions 837 to 1533 of the family's 1533-position model. Lineage: Eukaryota; Metazoa; Echinodermata; Echinoidea; Camarodonta; Strongylocentrotidae. The record is from RNAcentral.